GAUGAACGCUGGCGGCGUGCUUAACACAUGCAAGUCGAACGGUGAAGGCGGAGCUUGCUCUGCUGGAUCAGUGGCGAACGGGUGAGUAACACGUGAGCAAUCUGCCCCUGACUCUGGGAUAAGCGCUGGAAACGGCGUCUAAUACUGGAUACGAGCUGCGAAGGCAUCUUGAGCAGCUGGAAAGAACCUCGGUCAGGGAUGAGCUCGCGGCCUAUCAGCUUGUUGGUGAGGUAGCGGCUCACCAAGGCGUCGACGGGUAGCCGGCCUGGGAGGGUGACCGGCCACACUGGGACUGAGACACGGCCCAGACUCCUACGGGAGGCAGCAGUGGGGAAUAUUGCACAAUGGGCGAAAGCCUGAGGCAGCAACGCCGCGUGAGGGACGACGGCCUUCGGGUUGUAAACCUCUUUUAGCAGGGAAGAAGCGAAAGUGACGGUACCUGCAGAAAAAGCGCCGGCUAACUACGUG
This 468-nucleotide ribosomal RNA is filed under the name uncultured bacterium. RNAcentral's name for it is "partial 16S ribosomal RNA". It matches the Rfam family "Bacterial small subunit ribosomal RNA", at positions 28 to 507 of the family's 1533-position model. The record is from RNAcentral.